This 184-nucleotide non-coding RNA is filed under the name Thalassomonas sp. M1454. RNAcentral describes it as "6S / SsrS RNA". It matches the Rfam family "6S / SsrS RNA". Rfam says of the family: E. coli 6S RNA was the first non coding RNA to be sequenced, but its function was unknown until recently. It consists of 184 nucleotides that fold into an extended hairpin structure with a large single-stranded internal bulge. The 6S RNA specifically associates with RNA polymerase holoenzyme containing the sigma70 specificity factor. Lineage: Bacteria; Pseudomonadati; Pseudomonadota; Gammaproteobacteria; Alteromonadales; Colwelliaceae. The record is from Rfam by way of RNAcentral.
UGUUUCCUGGGAUGUUGAGUUGUUAAUUAUGUCCCUGAGCCGAUAAGUUUUACCUAAGGGGGUUUAUCGGCUGCUAUUGUGCAAGCCCGACCCGUAUCGGGAAGCCUGAGGCAGUUGUCCAAUCUCCGCCUUGAACACACGGUUGUUCAUGGGCUGACAUUAACGCUGGCAUUCUGGGAAACUU